RNAcentral lists this transfer RNA (97 nucleotides) under Dehalococcoidia bacterium. RNAcentral's name for it is "tRNA-Sec". It matches the Rfam family "Selenocysteine transfer RNA". The record is from RNAcentral. Lineage: Bacteria; Bacillati; Chloroflexota; Dehalococcoidia.
GGGAGUGGAUGGGUCCCGGUGGGUCUCGCGGUCUUCAAAACCGUUGCCCCGACGUCACGCGUCGGGGGGUGGGUUCGACUCCCACGCACUCCCGCCA